GCCGAGGUGCUGGAAUGGUAGACAGCCCAGACUUAAAAUCUGGUGUCACAAUUGUGACGUGCGGGUUCGAGUCCCGCCCUCGGCA
Molecule: transfer RNA, 85 nt
Filed under: Candidatus Woesebacteria bacterium RIFCSPHIGHO2_01_FULL_38_9
Lineage: Bacteria; Candidatus Woeseibacteriota
Also listed under: 1 other name
Description: tRNA-Leu
Rfam family: tRNA
About the family: Transfer RNA (tRNA) molecules are approximately 80 nucleotides in length. Their secondary structure includes four short double-helical elements and three loops (D, anti-codon, and T loops). Further hydrogen bonds mediate the characteristic L-shaped molecular structure. tRNAs have two regions of fundamental functional importance: the anti-codon, which is responsible for specific mRNA codon recognition, and the 3' end, to which the tRNAs corresponding amino acid is attached (by aminoacyl-tRNA synthetases). tRNAs cope with the degeneracy of the genetic code in two manners: having more than one tRNA (with a specific anti-codon) for a particular amino acid; and 'wobble' base-pairing, i.e. permitting non-standard base-pairing at the 3rd anti-codon position.
Source: RNAcentral